AUUAUGAACAUUAUAGACAAUUAUGUACAAGUAGCCUUUCCCUAAUUUUCCCCUCCAAUUUGCCGACGAUAGGUUAAAACAUGCCGAGUCAAUUUUUGAGGAGGAGCAAGAGGAGGAAAAUUGGUGGCGACGAUGCAUAUAGAACAUGGAGAAAUGCAGAUAUGGACGUUCUAUGGGAAAUUUUCUUCUCCUACCAGAAGAAGAUUUGUUCUUUAAGAUUUCAAAGGUUUGUCAACGGGGGCGAUAUAUAUGUUGGGAGAUUUUGUUCUGGAUAAAUUACCAUACUAUAGAUUUAUCGAAGUUGAAAGAAGUUCUUUAUCAAGGGUAUAGUCCGCGCAGAAUAGUGUCAAAAUCGAAACACGCAAACAUUUGUGGUACUUAUUUUGGGGAAUUUGGGAUAAGUUUACAGUACGAAAACAUAUUACUCCAUGGAUUGAACUGGAUCUUGGGCUCUGUGUCUGAACUAUGUUUCAGAAGUGGUUUUACCAUAUAAUAUUUACACAAGUGAAGACAACCUCGUUUACAUUAGCAAAUGGUAUUAUUUGCAGCAUAUUUUCUGAAUUCUCCUCCAUGGGAAAUAUUCAUGGGCGAUUUGUACUGUCUUAUGAUUUGUUGUCUUUACGUCUUUUUAAAUUUGCAUCAGGUUACCAAAUAUUAAAAAGUUAAGACUGUUCAGCGCGGGGGAUUUAUAAGGGCUAGCAGGAAUUGGAAGAAGCUGGAAGAGUUAUCAAUAGGAAGUCGCACAAACUGCAGGAGCUUGAAUUCAUUAUAUUUAUCUGGUUUUGAACUGCCAUUCUCUGGAGAAUCCAGCCUUAAGUUCGACAAUAUUAUUUCCUUGCACGUUAGAGAUCUUCGUCAGCUUCGAGUUUUGACAAUUACAAGUGCCGGGGUACAGAAGAGGGCGGGGGUGGGGGGGGUAGAGACUAUUAUGGCCAACUGUGAAAAGUUAUCAAGGCUAAAUCUUGUUGACUGCGCUAGAUUGGACUCUGGAAUAUAUCGUCUUCCUGCCAUCUCAGUAGAAGUGUGAAGGAAUCAUUCAAAAUGGUACAUUGGCUCACAAGAGGAGUUGUCUAGCAUACAAGAGUUGAUUGAGCAGUUGUGGACCUUUUGACGCUGAGAAGAUGCUUGAUAUGUGUGUGGUUAGUCUCUCUGCUUUUGCAACUUUUGAUGUAGUUUAGUCCUAUCAUCCUCAGGGAAAUUUUAUGCAGGUUACUGAUAUGAUUAUACGGUGUCAUACAACUAAUGAGGUUAGAAUUCUUGAUGCCUGGAUAGAAAACAGUAAUAAAUAGUAAUUUCUGGAACAAAACCAAAAACUAUCAGAUCUUUUAUUGAUAUGUAAAGAUUGAAUUGUUAUUCCUACAUUUUUGUAAUAUUAAUCAUGCCAGAAUAAAAACUAAAUCCGUAACAAAAGAUAAUGUCCAACUGCAUAUUAUUAUACAUUAUGAAGACUUAUUACUUGGGGAAAGCCUUUAAGCAAGCAAAAUAACUGGAGAGUACCAUAAGAUUCGUAGAUGAUAGAAGAUCGUAGCAGGAAUCAAUAAGCAAAGGACUAAGUAAAAACAAAAAGGAAUCAAGAAAUAGAGUCUGCAUAGUAGAGUUAAUCCCCACCCCUUAAAUCACACAUACAUUUUCUAAGACACUUCCCAGCAACUCUUUCUAUCUACGACUUCUUUCUUAUUUUCAUUGGUUUCUAGGAUGAAAUUCAUUGAUGCUUUCAGCUUCCCACUUGUCUUCAUUUUGAACCACAUUGGCUUCGUUCCAUCCUGGAACAAUUGGUUGGACUUCUGCUUGAUCACUUUGUCAUCUUCUAUUUGUGAAACUCCUUUGGAUCCUUCUGAUUCAAGUUCUCCCUUGGGGGAAUUUCACCCAAAAAAAAGAAAAGAAAAAAGAUUGAUAGUUUGAACUGUUCAUUUCUACCUGUUCUGCUACCGGACCUCCAACUCCAAGAUUAUUUACCUUAUGCACUAACGAAUCAGAUGGUCCUUCAUGUUCCUGAGCUUGCUAUGGUCUUCGAUAUGUGAAACUCCUUCGGAUUCUUCUGAUCCAAGUUCUUUCUUGGCGGAAUCGCCCAAAAAGUUUUGAUAGCGUUGGAGGGGUCAUUCCUACGUGUUCUUCUAUUGGACCUCUAACUCCGGGAUUCUGUACCUUCUGCGCAAACAAAGCAUGCGGUCCUUGAUUCUCUUGAAAAUCAAUGUUGUCUUGCUGGUCCACAGUUGGAUGUUCUUGGGGAGGGUCGCGAGGAGGCGGAUAUA
This 2252-nucleotide long non-coding RNA is filed under the name Olea europaea subsp. europaea. The record is from RNAcentral. Lineage: Eukaryota; Viridiplantae; Streptophyta; Magnoliopsida; Lamiales; Oleaceae.